Long non-coding RNA from Nicotiana tabacum (common tobacco), 882 nucleotides. RefSeq lists it as uncharacterized. NCBI's taxonomy places the organism in Eukaryota, Viridiplantae, Streptophyta, Magnoliopsida, Solanales, Solanaceae. The record is from RefSeq and is a predicted model, not a curated record.
AAGACUAUCAGACUCUAGACCCGAGACCUAUAGACACACAAAAAUCCACCGCUUUUCCAUAGAAAAAGCAUAAGCUUCUUCUUCUUGACCCACCUUCUGAAUCUCUCAAAAAUUGCCGGAAAAUACAACCACACACCCCUAACCAGCGACAACCCUCAAAUGACCACACCUCCCUCCGGCUCCAUCUAUAUUUACAUAUAUUUCUUAUAUUUUUCUGCUUCCUUUUGCUAUAUAUUGACGUGAAAAACGGAAGCUGUGAAUCUGAAAUUUCCCGUUUUCAAGUGCUUCAGAAUCUCCACAUUGAUCUUCGGCAGCAAAGCAGAUUAUUGCUCUAGAAAUCAUUCCACCAGUGGGUUUCAGCUGAUUAUCAACUCUAGUUGGCGUUGGAGGUUUAGUCCAUUUUGGAGCUCGUUUGUGAGAUAUGGGCUUGAGUUCGUGUUCGAUUCGAGAUUUACGAUGUCGAGUCGAGGUUCCCAUUGCUGCCCGCGGUUCUAAUCACGAUUUUUGCUCGUUUUUAUAUUGCUGUUUCACGGCUGAAUUCUCGGACUUCAGGCCUGUGUACUCAUUGCUACUUCAUUAAUUUUGAAGAGAAUUUUGGCUUAACAGGUUUAUCUCUGUAUCAUUCAUUUUAUUUGAACUUGUUUUGGGUGGUUUGAGCUUUAGAGUAGUUGUUUAUGUUUAACUUCCUCUCGAUUCAAGUUUAUGUUUUAUGUCGAUUGUGUGUUCAUCAAAUUCUUCUGGUGAUAUUUUUAGAUGGUAAAUGAGCAUGAAUUAUUUGGAUCUCUGUUUGGUUUGAUUAGUGUGAGAGAUUAAUGUUGGAAUAUUGGAACUAAUCAUGAUGAAACUGUGUUCCAUGCGCCGUUCUUGUUGGUGUUUUCUUGA